Molecule: ribosomal RNA, 744 nt
Filed under: Variovorax paradoxus
Lineage: Bacteria; Pseudomonadati; Pseudomonadota; Betaproteobacteria; Burkholderiales; Comamonadaceae
Description: bacterial SSU rRNA
Rfam family: Bacterial small subunit ribosomal RNA
Source: RNAcentral
AUAACGCAGCGAAAGCUGUGCUAAUACCGCAUAAGAUCUACGGAUGAAAGCAGGGGAUCGCAAGACCUUGCGCGAAUGGAGCGGCCGAUGGCAGAUUAGGUAGUUGGUGAGGUAAAGGCUCACCAAGCCUUCGAUCUGUAGCUGGUCUGAGAGGACGACCAGCCACACUGGGACUGAGACACGGCCCAGACCYCUACGGGAGGCAGCAGUGGGGAAUUUUGGACAAUGGGCGAAAGCCUGAUCCAGCCAUGCCGCGUGCAGGAUGAAGGCCUUCGGGUUGUAAACUGCUUUUGUACGGAACGAAACGGCCUUUUCUAAUAAAGAGGGCUAAUGACGGUACCGUAAGAAUAAGCACCGGCUAACUACGUGCCAGCAGCCGCGGUAAUACGUAGGGUGCAAGCGUUAAUCGGAAUUACUGGGCGUAAASCGUGCGCAGGCGGUUAUGUAAGACAGUUGUGAAAUCCCCGGGCUCAACCUGGGAACUGCAUCUGUGACUGCAUAGCUAGAGUACGGUAGAGGGGGAUGGAAUUCCGCGUGUAGCAGUGAAAUSCGUAGAUAUGCGGAGGAACACCGAUGGCGAAGGCAAUCCCCUGGACCUGUACUGACGCUCAUGCACGAAAGCGUGGGGAGCAAACAGGAUUAGAUACCCUGGUAGUCCACGCCCUAAACGAUGUCAACUGGUUGUUGGGUCUUCACUGACUCAGUAACGACACUAACGCGUGAAGUUGACCGCCUGGGGAGUAC